This 497-nucleotide ribosomal RNA is filed under the name uncultured bacterium. Its description in RNAcentral is "partial 16S ribosomal RNA". It matches the Rfam family "Bacterial small subunit ribosomal RNA", at positions 28 to 507 of the family's 1533-position model. The record is from RNAcentral.
GAUGAACGCUGGCGGCGUGCCUAAUACAUGCAAGUCGAGCGAACGGACGAGAAGCUUGCUCUUCUGAUGUUAGCGGCGGACGGGUGAGUAACACGUGGAUAACCUACCUAUAAGACUGGGAUAACUUCGGGAAACCGGAGCUAAUACCGGAUAAUAUUUUGAACCGCAUGGUUCAAAAGUGAAAGACGGUCUUGCUGUCACUUAUAGAUGGAUCCGCGCUGCAUUAGCUAGUUGGUAAGGUAACGGCUUACCAAGGCAACGAUGCAUAGCCGACCUGAGAGGGUGAUCGGCCACACUGGAACUGAGACACGGUCCAGACUCCUACGGGAGGCAGCAGUAGGGAAUCUUCCGCAAUGGGCGAAAGCCUGACGGAGCAACGCCGCGUGAGGGAUGAAGGUCUUCGGAUCGGAAAACUCUGUUAUUAGGGAAGAACAUAUGUGUAAGUAACUGUGCACAUCUUGACGGUACCUAAUCAGAAAGCCACGGCUAACUACGUG